RNAcentral lists this ribosomal RNA (762 nucleotides) under uncultured archaeon. Its description in RNAcentral is "bacterial SSU rRNA". It matches the Rfam family "Archaeal small subunit ribosomal RNA", at positions 1 to 763 of the family's 1478-position model. The record is from RNAcentral.
UUCGCCCUUUUCCGGUUGAUCCCGCCGGAGGCUACCGCUAUCGGGAUUCGAUUAAGCCAUGCGAGUCGAGAGGGUUCGGCCCUCGGCUGACGGCUCAGUAACACGUGGAUAACCUGCCCUCAGGUAGGGGAUAAUCUCGGGAAACUGAGGAUAAUACCCUAUAGACAUCCUUUGCUGGAAUGCUUGGAUGUUCAAAGGCGACGCCUGAGGAUGGGUCUGCGGCCUAUCAGGUAGUAGUGGGUGUAACGGACCCACUAGCCUACGACGGGUACGGGCCUUGAAAGAGGUAGCCCGGAGAUGGACUCUGAGACACGAGUCCAGGCCCUACGGGGCGCAGCAGGCGCGAAAACUUCGCAAUGCGGGAAACCGUGACGAGGGAAUCCCGAGUGCUCAUACAAUGUAUGGGCUUUUAUGAUGUGUAAAAAGCAUUAGGAAUAAGGGCUGGGUAAGACCGGUGCCAGCCGCCGCGGUAAUACCGGCAGCUCUAGUGGUAGCCACUUUUAUUGGGCCUAAAGCGUCCGUAGCCUGUCAAGUAAAUCCUUGGGUAAAUCGUACAGCUUAACUGUGCGGCUUCCGAGGAGACUGCUUGACUUGGGACCGGGAGAGGUUGGAGGUACUCCUGGGGUAGGGGUGAAAUCCUGUAAUCCUAGGUGGACCACCGGUGGCGAAGGCGUCCAACCAGAACGGCUCCGACGGUGAGGGACGAAGGCUAGGGGCGCAAACCGGAUUAGAUACCCGGGUAGUCCUAGCUGUAAACGCUGC